This 353-nucleotide ribosomal RNA is filed under the name uncultured bacterium. Its description in RNAcentral is "bacterial SSU rRNA". It matches the Rfam family "Bacterial small subunit ribosomal RNA", at positions 32 to 365 of the family's 1533-position model. The record is from RNAcentral.
AACCAACGCUGGCGGCGUGCCUCAGACAUGCAAGUCGAACGCGAAAGUCUCCUUCGGGGGAUAAGUAGAGUGGCGCACGGGUGAGUAACACGUAGGUAAUCUACCUUCGGAUGGGGAAUAACAACCGGAAACGGUUGCUAAUACCGCAUAAUGCAGCGGCACCUAAUGGUGACAGUUGUUAAAGCGGGGAUCGAAAGACCUCGCGUCUGAAGAGGAGCCUGCGGCGGAUUAGCUAGUUGGUAGGGUAAUGGCCUACCAAGGCGACGAUCCGUAGCCGGCCUGAGAGGGCGGUCGGCCACACUGACACUGACAUACGGGUCAGACUCCUACGGGAGGCAGCAGUCGGGAAUUUU